Long non-coding RNA from Panicum virgatum (switchgrass), 950 nucleotides. RefSeq lists it as uncharacterized. The record is from RefSeq and is a predicted model, not a curated record. NCBI's taxonomy places the organism in Eukaryota, Viridiplantae, Streptophyta, Magnoliopsida, Poales, Poaceae. The transcript has 2 exons.
GACUGCCGGAAUGAAGCUGCGCCGCUGGGGACAUCCUCCAUGACCCAUUCAAAGCCCUUGGGGUAGUAUAUCCCUGUCCUUGGGUGUGGCACCCACAAUGAUGUUUCUGCUGACCGCACUUCUGCAGGCUCCAGUCGCCUCACGAGGUUCAGAGUGGAUGACUAGUUACCGGAGGAGAGCUGUCGAUUUCGCAAGUGCAUGGCGGCCCAUUGACUCAGGCUGCAGAGGUUAACAAGAUGCGGUGGUGGUUAUCCUUGGUAGGAACCAGCUGAUGGCAGUUCCCCCUUGCUUGGUACCUCCCUCAUCCUCAACCCAGGUAUUUAUACACUAGCUGUAGCCUUAGCAGAUCGAAUGCCACCACCAAUCCAUCAUGGUCCUGGUAAUGAAACAUACACCGUACGUUCAUUGGAUUAUGGAGAAUCGGACACGCUUAGCUAACUAGGAGUGGGAUUUAUUACUGGUCUUGGGGAUUUACAAACGAUUUUGUUCGCUGUCGCUAGCUUCCGAUUGGGCAACUAAUUAAAAUGAUGGUUUCCAGCCUCUGAUUAGACCCCUCUGGACAAAACACCAUUGGAACUGAUGCUCCAAGAAUCUGAGUCAAUUGUCGUGAUAAAUGCAAUCUGGGACUGUACUGUUGCUACUCGUGGAAUCGUGCGACAGCAGCACCGAUGCUGUAGUUAGCAUUAUUAGCAAAGUGGAACCUUGGCUUUUAGAACAAAAGAUGGGAACAUGAUACAACCAGUAGAAAAGCUAUUACUUAAAUUCCCUGGUGACGUUGCUAUAGUUAGCUGCAAAUAAUUUCUGUUAUAAACUUGUGGAUUCCAUAUGAACAAGAUUGACACGUAGACCCAAUGAUGGGUGAACUCAGGGUGGAAAUACAUCAGGAAUUGAUUUGUAAUGCAGAUUUCAAGCAACAUAUGCUCACAUUAAAGAUUGUCUCUUUUACUUAC